Molecule: ribosomal RNA, 592 nt
Filed under: uncultured bacterium
Lineage: Bacteria
Description: bacterial SSU rRNA
Rfam family: Bacterial small subunit ribosomal RNA
Source: RNAcentral
GAGUUUGAUCAUGGUUCAGGAUGAACGCUAGCGACAGGCCUAACACAUGCAAGUCGAGGGGCAUCGGGACGUAGCAAUACGUUGCCGGCGACCGGCGGAUGGGUGAGUAACGCGUAUGCAACCUACCCGUAGCAGGGGGAUAGCCCGUUGAAAGACGGAUUAAUACCCCGUAACACAGGGGCUCCGCAUGGAGAUUAUUGUUAAAGGGUCAUUUCUUUUAGAGGUGGUCCGGCUGCGGAUGGGCAUGCGUUCCAUUAGGUAGUUGGUGUAGGUAACGGCUCACCAAGCCGACGAUGGAUAGGGGAACUGAGAGGUUGGUCCCCCACACUGGUACUGAGACACGGACCAGACUCCUACGGGAGGCAGCAGUGAGGAAUCUUGGUCAAUGGACGCAAGUCUGAACCAGCCAUGUCGCGUGAAGGAGGACGGCCCUAAGGGUUGUAAACUUCUUUUGCAGCGGAAUAAAGUUUGCCACGAGUUGGCGAUUUGCAAGUACGCUGCGAAUAAGGAUCGGCUAACUCCGUGCCAGCAGCCGCGGUAAUACGGAGGAUCCGGGCGUUAUCCGGAUUUAUUGGGUUUAAAGGGUGCGCAG